This 72-nucleotide transfer RNA is filed under the name Staphylinidae sp. BMNH 1274658. RNAcentral's name for it is "tRNA-Trp". The record is from RNAcentral. Lineage: Eukaryota; Metazoa; Arthropoda; Insecta; Coleoptera; Staphylinidae.
AAGGAUUUAAGUUAAUUAUCAAACUUGUAACCUUCAAAGUUAUCAAUAAAGUUCAAUAUUCUUUAAGCCUUA